RNAcentral lists this ribosomal RNA (406 nucleotides) under uncultured bacterium. RNAcentral describes it as "partial 16S ribosomal RNA". It matches the Rfam family "Bacterial small subunit ribosomal RNA", at positions 29 to 526 of the family's 1533-position model. The record is from RNAcentral.
CUUGAACGCUGGCGGCAUGCCUAACACAUGCAAGUCGAACGAGUGGCGGACGGGUGAGUAAUGUCUGGGAAACUGCCUGAUGGAGGGGGAUAACUACUGGAAACGGUAGCUAAUACCGCAUACCCUCGGAUGUGCCCAGAUGGGAUUAGCUAGUAGGUGGGGUAACGGCUCACCUAGGCGACGAUCCCUAGCUGGUCUGAGAGGAUGACAAGCAACACGGGAAAGGAGACAGGGUCCAGAGUCCUACGUGAGGCAGAAGUGGGGAAUAUUGCACAAGGGGCGCAAGCCUGAUGCAGCCAUGCCGCGUGUAUGAAGAAGGCCGUCGGGUUGUAAAGUACUUUCAGCGGGGAGGCGUUACCCGCAGAAGAAGCACCGGCUAACUCCGUGCCAGCAGCCGCGGUAAUAC